Molecule: ribosomal RNA, 382 nt
Filed under: uncultured bacterium
Lineage: Bacteria
Description: bacterial SSU rRNA
Rfam family: Bacterial small subunit ribosomal RNA
Source: RNAcentral
AUUGAACGCUGGCGGCAUGCCUUACACAUGCAAGUCGAACGGUAACAGGCCGCAAGGUGCUGACGAGUGGCGAACGGGUGAGUAAUGUAUCGGAACGUGCCCAGUCGUGGGGGAUAACUGCUCGAAAGAGCAGCUAAUACCGCAUACGACCUGAGGGUGAAAGCGGGGGAUCGCAAGACCUCGCGCGAUUGGAGCGGCCGAUAUCAGAUUAGGUAGUUGGUGGGGUAAAGGCCCACCAAGCCAACGAUCUGUAGCUGGUCUGAGAGGACGACCAGCCACACUGGGACUGAGACACGGCCCAGACUCCUACGGGAGGCAGCAGUGGGGAAUUUUGGACAAUGGACGCAAGUCUGAUCCAGCCAUGCCGCGUGCGGGAAGAAGG